GUAACGGGAGAGUGAUACAAAAACUGGACACCUGUGCCCACCCCCGGCGGGAGGCACACCAUGCACCGGAGAGCAGAGGCGUCAAAAGUGUUGUCAAAAAGAGUUUCACUUCCUGCACUGACCUCAGGGGAUCCGCAUACAAAUCACACCCUCGUCUGCCUAUGUAUGCCAUAGAGUUUCCGUCCUGAAUCAGGCUGAAUCUCCCUACAUCCAGGAUGGCAGACAAACUCUCACUGCUCCUGCUCUUACUUGGUCUCCCUGGUGUAAUAUGUGAUGGUCUGGAGUCCAUUCCAUCAAAUCCAGUGCUACAGGAGCCUGGGACAACUCUCAGUCUCCUGUAAGGGUUCUGGAUUUAAUUUUAGAAGCUAUGACAUGCACUGGAUAAGACAACCUGCUGGGAAGCCCCUGGAGUGGAUGGGGGUUAUCUGGUAUGAUGCCAGUAAAACUGUCUAUGCAAAGAGUGUGGAGGGACGG
Brienomyrus brachyistius is the source of this 474-nucleotide long non-coding RNA. RefSeq lists it as uncharacterized. The transcript is spliced from 3 exons. Lineage: Eukaryota; Metazoa; Chordata; Actinopteri; Osteoglossiformes; Mormyridae. The record is from RefSeq and is a predicted model, not a curated record.